GGUUCAGUGGUCUAGUGGUUAUGAUCUCUGUCUUACACACAGAGGGUCCUCAGUUCGAUCCUGGGCUGAACCA
This is a transfer RNA of Neolentinus lepideus HHB14362 ss-1, 73 nucleotides long. It matches the Rfam family "tRNA". From Rfam's summary of the family: Transfer RNA (tRNA) molecules are approximately 80 nucleotides in length. Lineage: Eukaryota; Fungi; Basidiomycota; Agaricomycetes; Gloeophyllales; Gloeophyllaceae. The record is from Rfam.